RNAcentral lists this ribosomal RNA (497 nucleotides) under uncultured bacterium. RNAcentral describes it as "partial 16S ribosomal RNA". It matches the Rfam family "Bacterial small subunit ribosomal RNA", at positions 28 to 507 of the family's 1533-position model. The record is from RNAcentral.
GAUGAACGCUGGCGGCGUGCCUAAUACAUGCAAGUCGAGCGAACAGACGAGGAGCUUGCUCCUCUGACGUUAUCGGCGGACGGGUGAGUAACACGUGGAUAACCUACCUAUAAGACUGUGAUAACUUCGGGAAACCGGAGCUAAUACCGGAUAAUAUAUUGAACCGCAUGGUUCAAUAGUUAAAGACGGUUUUUCUUUCACUUAUAGAUUGAUCCGCGCCGCAUUAGCUAGUUGGUAAGGUAGCUGCUUACCAAGGCAACGAUGGGUAACCGACCUGAGAGGGGGAGCGGCAACACUGGAACUGAAACACGGUCCAGACCCCUACGGGAGGCAGCAGUAGGGAAUCUUCCGCAAUGGGAGAAAGCCUGACGGAGCAACGACGCGUGAGUGAUGAAGGUCUUCGGAUCGUAAAACUCUGUUAUUAGGGAAGAACAAAUGUGUAAGUAACUAUGCACGUCUUGACGGUACCUAAUCAGAAAGCCACGGCUAACUACGUG